ACGGAUAUAUCACGUUGAAACACUGGUCCCCGUACGAUCAGCGAACUUAAGCGACGUUGAGCCCGGUCAGUACCUAGUUGGGUGACCGCUUGGAAAUACCAGAUGCUGUAAG
Non-coding RNA from Acanthosepion pharaonis, 112 nucleotides. The record is from the annotation of a GenBank genome assembly. NCBI's taxonomy places the organism in Eukaryota, Metazoa, Mollusca, Cephalopoda, Sepiida, Sepiidae.